GAGAGUUAGGUAAAUCCGGCUCUCUUUAAGGCUGAGACACGAUGUCGAGCUACUACGGUAGUGAAGUCAUUGAUGCCAUGCUUCCAGGAAAAGCCUCUAAGCUUCAGAUUGUAAGGAAUCGUACCCCAAACCGACACAGGUGGUCGGGUAGAGAAUACCAAGGCGCUUGAGAGAACUCGGGUGAAGGAACUAGGCAAAAUGGUACCGUAACUUCGGGAGAAGGUACGCUCUCGACGGUGAAGUCCCUCGCGGAUGGAGCUAUUGAGAGUCGCAGAUACCAGGUGGCUGCAACUGUUUAUUAAAAACAC
Molecule: ribosomal RNA, 308 nt
Filed under: Vibrio parahaemolyticus
Lineage: Bacteria; Pseudomonadati; Pseudomonadota; Gammaproteobacteria; Vibrionales; Vibrionaceae
Description: partial 23S ribosomal RNA
Rfam family: Bacterial large subunit ribosomal RNA
Source: RNAcentral